RNAcentral lists this ribosomal RNA (460 nucleotides) under uncultured bacterium. RNAcentral's name for it is "partial 16S ribosomal RNA". It matches the Rfam family "Bacterial small subunit ribosomal RNA", at positions 338 to 795 of the family's 1533-position model. The record is from RNAcentral.
CCUACAGGUGGCAGCAGUGAGGAAUAUUGGUCAAUGGACGAGAGUCUGAACCAGCCAAGUAGCGUGAAGGAUGACUGCCCUAUGGGUUGUAAACUUUUUUUAUAAAGGAAUAAAACGAGGCACGUGUGCCUUUUUGCAUGUACUUCUUGAUUAAGGAUCGGCUAAUUCCGUGCCAGCAGCCGCGGUAAUCCGGAGGAUCCGAGCGUUAUCCGGAUUUAUUGGGUUUAAAGGGAGCGUAGAUGGGUUGUUAAGUCAGUUGUGAAAGUUUGCGGCUCAACCGUAAAAUUGCACUUGAUACUGGCAGUCUGGAGUGCAGUUGAGGUAGGCGGAAUUCGUGGUGUAGCGGUGAAAUGCUUAGAUAUCACGAAGAACCCCGAUUGCGAAGGCAGCUUACUAAACUGUAACUGACGUUGAGGCUCGAAAGUGUGGGUAUCAAACAGGAUUAGAUACCCCGGUAGUC